RNAcentral lists this ribosomal RNA (468 nucleotides) under uncultured bacterium. Its description in RNAcentral is "bacterial SSU rRNA". It matches the Rfam family "Bacterial small subunit ribosomal RNA", at positions 28 to 507 of the family's 1533-position model. The record is from RNAcentral.
GAUGAACGCUGGCGGCGUGCCUAACACAUGCAAGUCGAACGGAGCUGUCGGAGCUUGCUUUGACAGCUUAGUGGCGAACGGGUGAGUAACGCGUGAGCAACCUGCCCUUGAGAGGGGGAUAACAUCGGGAAACCGAUGCUAAUACCGCAUAAAAUAUGCAGAUGGCAUCAUUGGCAUAUCAAAGGAGAAAUCCGCUCAAGGAUGGGCUCGCGUCUGAUUAGAUAGUUGGUGAGGUAACGGCCCACCAAGUCGACGAUCAGUAGCCGGACUGAGAGGUUGACCGGCCACAUUGGGACUGAGACACGGCCCAGACUCCUACGGGAGGCAGCAGUGGGGAAUAUUGGGCAAUGGGGGGAACCCUGACCCAGCAACGCCGCGUGAAGGAAGAAGGCCUUCGGUUGUAAACUUCUUUGUACAGGGAAGAAGGAAGUGACGGUACCCUGAGAACAAGCUCCGGCUAACUACGUG